Long non-coding RNA from Scophthalmus maximus (turbot), 2554 nucleotides. RefSeq lists it as uncharacterized. The transcript is spliced from 2 exons. Lineage: Eukaryota; Metazoa; Chordata; Actinopteri; Pleuronectiformes; Scophthalmidae. The record is from RefSeq and is a predicted model, not a curated record.
GCUUCUCAGCCUCAACGUGCGCGCCACUUCAACACGAGGUGACACAUUUUUCUCUCUCUCCAAGUACUGCACACACACCAACACGGGCAAACUGCUCACAGCCACCACGAGCAGCCGUUUGCAGUCACAGAGGAAUAUGCUGCAAACCCAAAGGAACUAGAGCUACACAGCUACACGGGAUAAAAAAACAUGACGAUGCCUGAGAUUGUGGCCCCUGGACGAUGAGCGGGUCCCGAGACUCUUUGAGGGAGAAACUCUGCACAGCGAGAGACCUGGAUGGCCUGAAAUCCUCUCUCCACCACCACACGGCCAUUCCCACCAGCAGCAAACUGAGAAAUACUGGAAAACAAACAAUAAAACACACACUUGUGAAAAAAACAACCUGAAGACACACAGACUGGUCCUAUUUUAACAACCUCAAAUUAACAUGAUUUAUUCAGCAAAGUUAGACACUUGGAACUCCUCACAGUGUGUUAGACACUUGGAACGCCUCACAGUGUGUAAGACACUUGAACGCCUCACAGUGUGUUAGACACUUGAACGCCUCACAGUGUGUUAGACACUUGAACGCCUCACAGUGUGUUAGACACUUGGAACUCCUCACAGUGUGUUGGACACUUGGAACUCCUCACAGCGUGUUGGACACUUGAACGCCUCACAGUGUGUUAGACACUUGGAACGCCUCACAGCGUGUUGGACACUUGAACGCCUCACAGUGUGUUAGACACUUGGAACUCCUCACAGUGUGUUGGACACUUGGAACUCCUCACAGUGUGUUAGACACUUGGAACGCCUCACAGUGUGUUGGACACUUGAACGCCUCACAGUGUGUUAGACACUUGGAACGCCUCACAGUGUGUUAGACACUUGGAACGCCUCACAGUGUGUUAGACACUUGAACGCCUCACAGUGUGUUAGACACUUGGAACGCCUCACAGUGUGUUAGACACUUGGAACGCCUCACAGUGUGUUAGACACUUGGAACGCCUCACAGUGUGUACAGCGCCUUCAUCUCCGUGUGUGGAAACAGUUGCUCAACAUCUGUUAACUAGUGUAUAAAUGACAGACCCUGAAUGUUGCAUGUUCAUGAAUCAUCUGGGAGUGACCGGCUAGGAUCAGCUAGAAAGCUGUAACAACAUGAAAUAAGCGGGAACAAAAUGACAUCCUUAUUUAUGAAUACUUAUCUGGCUUAUCCUCAUUAGAACCAAUAUUUAGUUAUAAGUUUACGUCACAGGGCCUAAACGGGCCUGAUGGAGAUAAUUACAUUUACAAUUGAUAAAUAUUGUCAUCUAUAAUUUAGAUUUGCUACGGUUAAAUUUGACGGGUGAGGAGAUGCUUGCUCGUCGGUAAAAAUUGUUUAUACGUUUGUUGUUUAUACCUUGUUCUUUUCUGUAUACUGUUGAUCUAUUUAUUCUUGGACUGCCCGAUGGAGAAAACUGUUUUAAAGGAAGGAGGACUGUAGUGGGAGCACUGGGGUGUCAGGUUUCACUGUGUGGCGAUGGCAAAUGGUUUACAUAGCUCUUGAGUCAGGUAAUAGGGGGCCCCUGAGUGGUCUUUAACAGUAGUGUGCUAUGUUGCCAUUACUGAAGAAAGAUAAACACAGAGGGUUUUAUUUGUUGUAGGAAAAGAAGGUCUUACUGAUCAGAGAGAGGACUCCAGCAAAUGUAGGGUCGGACAAACUGGAAGCAUGAACUGUGCGAGAGAUAGCAGGAGUUUCUUGAGAUUCAUUUUGUCCCAUUUCGGGAAAAAUGCAGGUGAACUCUGGACUCUCGGACUGCAGGUGGACCGCGCACUCGUGCCGACACACCUCCCCAGGACGUCCGCACACUGACGGCCCUAAGAUACCAGCAGAACGUAGUCAGUUGAGAGGAAUCUGUGACUUUUGAGGUGGCGAUUACCUUUUUUAUUUAUAGCACCUUCCAUGAAGUACGUGCCUGAUCACAAAGGUUUACCAAUCAGCAACAGUUAUCGUGAAGUCUGAGACGUAGCAUGCGCAGAAAGGGGCUUUUUACCAUUUGGUUGAAGGACAGGCUGAACGACGACCACUCCGCCCGGUGAGGUCAAAUUCGUCAGCAGUGUUUGAAGUUGGCUGCCAUUGUGCUUGUUUGCUCGGCAGAUGGAGCGCGUAACUUCUUCACUCCAAUAUACAAAACCCUGAAAUCGAAAUGGAAAGAGACUUAGCAGGAGAAGCUUCGCAACAACAUUGAGAAACGGGAUUUUCAGUUUAAAGUUGAAAUUAAAGGAUGGUAACUGGUUAUGUUUAGCGUUUCUCAACAAACUGCACCUUCUGUCCUUGAGGCCCAACAAACGUGCCGUGAUCAAUUCUCUUCCUUAAGGAAAACACUUAAAAAGAAGAUUUUACAAAAAAUAUUUAAUUCAUUUUUUUCCCCCAACAGCAGUUUUUGUUUUCAAUUAUAAUGUUACCUAAUAUUGUACUCAAUUUUAUUCUAUUUUUAAAGCCUAAUUUCUUCCAUUCAGUCAAUUUUUUUUCUCCAAUUAAAGCACUUUGCGACUUUGUUCUGAAAUGUGUUGUAUGAAUAAAGUUUUAAUUGUA